CCUACGGGAGGCAGCAGUGAGGAAUAUUGGUCAAUGGACGAGAGUCUGAACCAGCCAAGUAGCGUGAAGGAUGACUGCCCUAUGGGUUGUAAACUUCUUUUAUAAAGGAAUAAAACGAGGCACGUGUGCCUUUUGGCAUGUACUUUAUGAUUAAGGAUCGGCUAACUCCGCGCCAGCAGCCGCGGUAAUACGGAGGGUCCGAGCGUUAUCCGGAUUUAUUGGGUUUAAAGGGAGCGUAGAUGGGUUGGUAAGUCAGUUGUGAAAGUUUGCGGCUCAACCGUAAAAUUGCAAUUGAUACUGGCAGUCUUGAGUACAGUAGAGGUAGGCGGAAUUCGUGGUGUAGCGGUGAAAUGCUUAGAUAUCACGAAGAACCCCGAUUGCGAAGGCAGCUUACUAAACUGUGACUGACAUUGAUGCUCGAAAGUGUGGGUAUCAAACAGGAUUAGAUACCCCUGUAGUC
This 460-nucleotide ribosomal RNA is filed under the name uncultured bacterium. RNAcentral describes it as "partial 16S ribosomal RNA". It matches the Rfam family "Bacterial small subunit ribosomal RNA", at positions 338 to 795 of the family's 1533-position model. The record is from RNAcentral.